UACGAAGGGGGCUAGCGUUGCUCGGAAUCACUGGGCGUAAAGGGUGCGUAGGCGGGUCUUUAAGUCAGGGGUGAAAUCCUGGAGCUCAACUCCAGAACUGCCUUUGAUACUGAAGAUCUUGAGUCCGGGAGAGGUGAGUGGAACUGCGAGUGUAGAGGUGAAAUUCGUAGAUAUUCGCAAGAACACCAGUGGCGAAGGCGGCUCACUGGCCCGUUACUGACGCUGAGGUGCGAAAGCGUGGGGAGCAAACAGG
Molecule: ribosomal RNA, 253 nt
Filed under: uncultured bacterium
Lineage: Bacteria
Description: partial 16S ribosomal RNA
Rfam family: Bacterial small subunit ribosomal RNA
Source: RNAcentral